Molecule: ribosomal RNA, 460 nt
Filed under: uncultured bacterium
Lineage: Bacteria
Description: partial 16S ribosomal RNA
Rfam family: Bacterial small subunit ribosomal RNA
Source: RNAcentral
CCUACGGGAGGCUGCAGUGAGGAAUAUUGGUCAAUGGGCGGGAGCCUGAACCAGCCAAGUCGCGUGAGGGAAGACGGUCCUAUGGAUUGUAAACCUCUUUAGGCGGGGAGCAAUGCCGGGCACGCGUGCCCGGAGGGAGAGUACCCGCAGAAUAAGCAUCGGCUAAAUCCGUGCCAGCAGCCGCGGUAAUACGGAGGAUGCGAGCGUUAUCCGGAUUUAGUGGGGUUAAAGGGUGCGUAGGCGGGUUUUUGAGUCAGCGGUAAAAUGUCCGGGCUGAACCCGGGCCGGCCGUUGAAACUGGGGAUCUUGAGUGGGCGAGAAGGAUGCGGAAUGCGGGGGGUAGCGGUGAAAUGCAUAGAUAUCACGCAGAACUCCGAUUGCGAAGGCAGCAUACCGGCGCCCGACUGACGCUGAGGCACGAAAGCGUGGGGAUCGAACAGGAUUAGAUACCCCAGUAGUC